Molecule: ribosomal RNA, 409 nt
Filed under: Salmonella enterica subsp. enterica serovar Uganda
Lineage: Bacteria; Pseudomonadati; Pseudomonadota; Gammaproteobacteria; Enterobacterales; Enterobacteriaceae
Description: partial 23S ribosomal RNA
Rfam family: Bacterial large subunit ribosomal RNA
Source: RNAcentral
UCGGACAUCAGGAGGUUAGUGCAAUGGCAUAAGCCAGCUUGACUGCGAGCGUGACGGCGCGAGCAGGUGCGAAAGCAGGUCAUAGUGAUCCGGUGGUUCUGAAUGGAAGGGCCAUCGCUCAACGGAUAAAAGGUACUCCGGGGAUAACAGGCUGAUACCGCCCAAGAGUUCAUAUCGACGGCGGUGUUUGGCACCUCGAUGUCGGCUCAUCACAUCCUGGGGCUGAAGUAGGUCCCAAGGGUAUGGCUGUUCGCCAUUUAAAGUGGUACGCGAGCUGGGUUUAGAACGUCGUGAGACAGUUCGGUCCCUAUCUGCCGUGGGCGCUGGAGAACUGAGGGGGGCUGCUCCUAGUACGAGAGGACCGGAGUGGACGCAUCACUGGUGUUCGGGUUGUCAUGCCAAUGGCACU